AACUCUGAUCCAGCCUGCCGCGUGCAGGANGACGGCCCUAUGGGUUGUAAACUGCUUUUAUACGGGAANAACCANAUCUACGUGGUAGAUGNCUUGANGGUACCGUAUGAAUAAGGACCGGCUAACUCCGUGCCAGCAGCCGCGGUAAUAU
This 151-nucleotide ribosomal RNA is filed under the name uncultured Bacteroidota bacterium. RNAcentral describes it as "uncultured Bacteroidetes bacterium partial 16S ribosomal RNA". It matches the Rfam family "Bacterial small subunit ribosomal RNA", at positions 379 to 526 of the family's 1533-position model. Lineage: Bacteria; Pseudomonadati; Bacteroidota. The record is from RNAcentral.